CCUGUCCAAUGACCCAGAGUACUCUGACCGUGUGGAGUACCUGGGGAAUAAGAACAGUGACUGCACUUUCAGAAUAAACUAGCUGAGAGAAAGUGAUUCAGCAAUAUAUCGCUUCAAGUUCCUGACCGACCGUUAUGGUGGAAAAUAUACUGGUCAUUCUGGAGUCUCGUUGACAGUUACAGGUCUUCAGGUGAAAGUGACAGAGAAUGAGGCACAGAGUGUAACACUGACCUGUAGCAGCACCUGCACUUUGAGUGGCAGCCCAACCUUUACCUGGUACAA
Long non-coding RNA from Anguilla anguilla (European eel), 282 nucleotides. RefSeq lists it as uncharacterized. NCBI's taxonomy places the organism in Eukaryota, Metazoa, Chordata, Actinopteri, Anguilliformes, Anguillidae. The record is from RefSeq and is a predicted model, not a curated record. The transcript is spliced from 2 exons.